This 450-nucleotide ribosomal RNA is filed under the name uncultured bacterium. RNAcentral's name for it is "bacterial SSU rRNA". It matches the Rfam family "Bacterial small subunit ribosomal RNA", at positions 29 to 524 of the family's 1533-position model. The record is from RNAcentral.
AACGAACGCUGGCGGCAGGCCUAACACAUGCAAGUCGAGCGGGGACUUCGGUCCUAGCGGCGGACGGGUGAGUAACGCGUGGGAACGUGCCCUUUGCUUCGGAAUAGCCCCUGGAAACGGGGAGUAAUACCGGAUGUGCCCUUUGGGGGAAAGAUUUAUCGGCAAAGGAUCGGCCCGCGUUGGAUUAGGUAGUUGGUGGGGUAAUGGCCUACCAAGCCGACGAUCCAUAGCUGGUUUGAGAGGAUGAUCAGCCACACUGGGACUGAGACACGGCCCAGACUCCUACGGGAGGCAGCAGUGGGGAAUCUUAGACAAUGGGCGCAAGCCUGAUCUAGCCAUGCCGCGUGAGCGAUGAAGGCCUUAGGGUUGUAAAGCUCUUUCAGAUGGGAAGAUAAUGACGGUACCAUCAGAAGAAGCCCCGGCUAACUCCGUGCCAGCAGCCGCGGUAAU